RNAcentral lists this long non-coding RNA (1026 nucleotides) under Equus asinus (donkey). Its description in RNAcentral is "lncRNA (ENSEASG00005032915.1)". Lineage: Eukaryota; Metazoa; Chordata; Mammalia; Perissodactyla; Equidae. The record is from RNAcentral.
AUACUAGUUUAAGGGGUAAAGUUUUAUUUCAGUGAAAGUGAUCACUUUUUGUGGAAAUAAAGCUAUGAAAUAAUCCUUUUAAUUUAGGGUCCUGUAUUUGACAUCUCUGAUGAAGUUUGCUGGACAAUACUCGAUUAAGCUGAGCCUUUAAAUUUGCUAUUUAAUGGGCAUUGAAAAUAAAUAAAUAGUUUUUUAUCCUGCAGAAGUUUUAGAAAUUUAUCACUAAUCCUGGAGUGUGGGAGUAUAUGCUCUUUUAAAGCCACGUACUCUUUUUAAGUGUGGACAAAAUUGGCUCAGGUAAAAUAAGAGCCCGAAGAGCAAUCUGCUAGAGGUCAUGUGUUGACCUUCACUUGAAGAGUCCCAAGAUGCAUAAAUUUUAUGCUUCUUUUUACAAGAGUUCAAUGUUGGCAUUUUGUCAUAGCCUUGUGUAUGUUCUCCCUGUCACGGACUGAUGUUGGGUGUCUGACUUAUUGUGGAGAGAUGCAAUUUAUGGAUUCUCCUGGCGUUCUGAUGGUUUUCAAUACUUACUCAUCAUUUAUGAAUUUUAUCUUCCUUUAAUGUAUCUGUAAACUCUGUUACUCUCUAUAUAGUUAUGUUGCCGAUGUAGAGUAGAGAAGGCAAUGUGUAAGUUGGUGUUAGGAUUCUCUACCCUGAUGAUGUGAGUGGUUUUCAUGUUCUAGGAGAGACAGAUCAGAAAAGGUGAAUUUCUUUGUUCAAAGCAGUAGACUUCCAUCUAAGUGUCCACCCCUUCGCUGUUCCCCAUCUCCUGGCCCUGGAAGUUGAAUGAGAUCAAACAUAGUGGAGAAGAAGAACAGCCAGACACCAUCCCUGCGGGUGUGUUUAUGUUUGGGAUUGAGUGUAGAGGAGGAGAGGAGGGUACAGACUGAGAGGUGAGUGAAAGGAGGAAUUUUACAUGGAGAUUCUUAGAAUGCUCUCAUACUAGCCUUCUUUACUUGGCUUUACUGAAUUUCCCAAUCAGCAAGUAUGUCAAGAAAAGCAGUUUAACAAUUUAAUCUGCAGAACCAU